RNAcentral lists this ribosomal RNA (254 nucleotides) under uncultured bacterium. Its description in RNAcentral is "partial 16S ribosomal RNA". It matches the Rfam family "Bacterial small subunit ribosomal RNA", at positions 524 to 776 of the family's 1533-position model. The record is from RNAcentral.
UACAGAGGGUGCAAGCGUUAAUCGGAAUUACUGGGCGUAAAGCGCGCGUAGGUGGUUCGUUAAGUUGGAUGUGAAAUCCCCGGGCUCAACCUGGGAACUGCAUUCAAAACUGACGAGCUAGAGUAUGGUAGAGGGUGGUGGAAUUUCCUGUGUAGCGGUGAAAUGCGUAGAUAUAGGAAGGAACACCAGUGGCGAAGGCGACCACCUGGACUGAUACUGACACUGAGGUGCGAAAGCGUGGGGGAGCAAACAGG